ACUCCUACGGGAGGCAGCAGUGGGGAAUAUUGCACAAUGGGCGCAAGCCUGAUGCAGCCAUGCCGCGUGUAUGAAGAAGGCCUUCGGGUUGUAAAGUACUUUCAGCAGUGAGGAAGGCGGAGUCGUUAAUAGCGGCCUCGUUUGACGUUAGCUGCAGAAGAAGCACCGGCUAACUCCGUGCCAGCAGCCGCGGUAAUACGGAGGGUGCGAGCGUUAAUCGGAAUUACUGGGCGUAAAGCGCAUGCAGGUGGUUUGUUAAGUCAGAUGUGAAAGCCCGGGGCUCAACCUCGGAAUUGCAUUUGAAACUGGCAGACUAGAGUACUGUAGAGGGGGGUAGAAUUUCAGGUGUAGACGGUGAAAUGCGUAGAGAUCUGAAGGAAUACCGGUGGCGAAGGCGGCCCCCUGGACAGAUACUGACACUCAGAUGCGAAAGCGUGGGGAGCAAACA
Molecule: ribosomal RNA, 448 nt
Filed under: uncultured bacterium
Lineage: Bacteria
Description: bacterial SSU rRNA
Rfam family: Bacterial small subunit ribosomal RNA
Source: RNAcentral